Molecule: non-coding RNA, 195 nt
Filed under: Pan troglodytes (chimpanzee)
Lineage: Eukaryota; Metazoa; Chordata; Mammalia; Primates; Hominidae
Source: RNAcentral
AAAUCCCAAGUUGACGGUCAAGUCCAACGCUCGCCGCAGACAUCUAGUGGACCCGGCGCUCACGGACGGAAGUGGACAGACCCAGUUGGAUCUUUAUCACACCAAGCUGGCCCACCUUUGCUGCCAUCUAACUCCGCUGACCAGCCCACCGUUCCUCCACUGUCCGCUGGUUGACCCGGGCAGCGGAGAGAGGAG